Bactrocera dorsalis (oriental fruit fly) is the source of this 1014-nucleotide long non-coding RNA. RefSeq lists it as uncharacterized. The transcript has 3 exons. NCBI's taxonomy places the organism in Eukaryota, Metazoa, Arthropoda, Insecta, Diptera, Tephritidae. The record is from RefSeq and is a predicted model, not a curated record.
GCACAGGAAAUUUAAUAGCCUGUUUGUGGUUGUAUAGACAGAUGCAUCAUGGGAAUUGUUGAACCCCUUUCGGAGCAGGUUUAUUUGAGAAAUUGCAGAGGAUAAACAACUCCUUAGCCGUGGGAGUUAGAACGUUUGUUUUGAUUUCAGACAUCAUUGUAAAAUGCGUACACGACCAGUUUCGGUAUAUUUAUUUAUAUAUUUUCAUUCACUUAAAUGUACAUAAUAACAAAGGCAAACGAAUGGCAAAAUUCUGCGAAUGUGAGCAACAAUGCGUUGGCGGGAGAAACAGCUGGUGAUGGUAGUGGCGACGAAGCGGAUGAAUUCGCAAUAUCAAUGUCAAGGUGAAUUGGGCCGACAGGCACUAAGGCAGCAUAAGCAACAAGUUCUAUAAAUAAUGUUGAAUACGAUUGUAAAGUGGUUGUAAAAUAGCUAUAAAACCAGCGAAAAAACUUUUAAAAGCUGGAGGAACGGACCCGGAUUUUUAUCCGGUCAAGAACUGUCAACUCAGCAGCAUGACUCGAAAUAACGCAGGAAUGUUUUCUGCCGCUACAACAACAACCAUAUCGAAAGAAUCAGAAAACAUGGAAUGGCUGAAAUUACGUAUCCAUUGCUUUAAUAGGCGCUAUUAAGGUGAAAAACUUUAACAGAGCAACAACAAAAUAAAAAUGUAUACUCCCAACAUUACAAACAACAACAGCAAACGCUUGAAUAAGUGAAAGAAAAUGUGUGAACAAAGAGGUGAACGAACUUUUCCGAAUAUCAUGAAGAAAAUUUUUGACAGCCAAAAAUUCUCUCAACGCAACAAAUGAAUUCAUAAUAUAAAUAGCAGCAAUGCAUAUGAGUGAUAAUGUGUGAUUAUUUCUCAAAUCUUUUUGUUUACAAAUGAUGCGCUGUUAUUGAAAAUAAAUUGGGCCAGUGCUCUUUAUUGCUUCAUUCAAAUUUUUUAAAGAUAAAGUAUGUAGAGUUUGUCUUCAAGAAAAUUCGAAAAUUAUACAUUAUUGACUAACUUUG